UUAGUGAUGCAACAUCAAUAGCUUAUUCCUAGGUGGUUGCUCCUCACCAAGUAUGGGCCAAAAAGGAACUCAUUUGCUGCUGGCGUUUAGGGUUGUGCUUUCCUUCAAAGUCCUAGCUGUUGAAAAAAUUGAAUAUAGAUGUUUUCAUGGACGAGAGAAGUAUAAAGAUCAAGAACCAAGUGCAUCGAAUUUGUUUGAGUGCCUCUACA
This is a long non-coding RNA of Panicum virgatum (switchgrass), 209 nucleotides long. RefSeq lists it as uncharacterized. Lineage: Eukaryota; Viridiplantae; Streptophyta; Magnoliopsida; Poales; Poaceae. The transcript is spliced from 2 exons. The record is from RefSeq and is a predicted model, not a curated record.